GCUUCGGACGUGGCCUGGGCUAUGUUGGCCCGCCUGCUACCACUCCGCGUCCUCCAGAUUCGUUCGUCGUAUAUCGUAUAGAAAAGAAAUACUCUUCUGUUCAUCUUCCUCCUCUAUCCCCAGCGGCGACUUAAUACUGCCUGAUAAAUUCCAGCAAUAAACCUAAUAAAUCGUAGCAUUCAAAAAGUGAAAACUGCUCAAGGGAGUUCAUCCGCUGCCGCCGUGCUCUGCAGCUUUAAAAGCAAGCCGUGGUGCCAUCCGCCUCCACACCAAUGCCAAGUGGCCUCGGUGCCGGUGCAUUCCCACUCCCCAUCCUACUUCCUCCUCCCCAUCAGAUUCCUCAAUAAAUCCGGAUUUUUUCUGCUCCUACCUCAGGCCUUCCGGAUUUUUGCUCGAAGUUUUAAAGCUGCAAGAUUCGGGCUGCUGCUACCUCAGGCCAUCCGGAUUUCUUGGGAUUUCUUCAUGUUUUCUUGGGAUUUCUUGCCUUCUCUGCCUGGUUGAUGGAUCUCAAUUUCCAUUGAUUGAAAUCUCGGUCUGCUGAUAAUCAUCGACGCUGCACAUCCCCCUCUUCAAUUGUGCUCUAAUUCCCUUUCUAAGAACUCUCCUGCACCGGCAUCUCUUCAUGUGUCCGAUGCGCUGCAUGGUCACAAAGUGGAGCCUGAGAAGAGUACGCCAAGUCGAUGGAUGGCAGGGGACAUCUGUGACUCUGUCCCAAGGCGAGUAUAGCCAGGGUCGAUUUGAUUUGAACCAAUGUGUUUGGGGCUGUGCAAGAACAAGUGGAUGACAUGCUGGAGACCGAAGGUUGAUCUAGACAUCAAGUUGAAUGAGUCUGAUGCCAAGUACUUUUGUUACGGUUUUGAAGUUGUUGACACAUCUGGCAGUGAAGCUCAAGGAUAAGGGUCUGCCUCGGCCGGUCGGACGAGUAUUUGUAGACGCAGGAUUGCAAGGAUGAACCUAUAUGGCCGCUCUCCAUCUCAUGGAAGGUUUGGCAUAUUCAAAAUGAAGACCUUGAAGGAGAUCAUUGCAACCUGAGCAAUGUAGACAUAUACUUGGCGCGGAUUUCCAAAGGUGUAUCUUGACGUGCUUUAUAUGGAAUGACUAAUUGGUUUUCUCGGCAAGCAGCAAUUGCUUAUUUAUUAUAUGUUUUCUUUUCAUCUUGCUAAAACAUGUGUUGUUGUUCGGACAGAUAAUUAGAGAUAAAGGAUUAUGUGUUUUAACUUUAGACAUGUAUAGUUGUAACCAGGGGCUUUCAUUGUUAAUAUGAUCAAUAGUAAUACUA
Lolium perenne is the source of this 1279-nucleotide non-coding RNA. Lineage: Eukaryota; Viridiplantae; Streptophyta; Magnoliopsida; Poales; Poaceae. The record is from RefSeq and is a predicted model, not a curated record.